Molecule: unclassified non-coding RNA, 151 nt
Filed under: uncultured Ascomycota
Lineage: Eukaryota; Fungi; Ascomycota
Description: sequence contains ITS2
Source: RNAcentral
UGUCUACCCUCAAGCCUGGCUUGGUGUUGGGUCGUGCCCCUCCUGCGGGCAGGCCCUAAAUGCAGUGGUCGCGUCGUGACGACUCCCAGCGCAGUACGACCCCUCGUUGCGGAGCCGGUCGCGCACGCGGCCAGACAACGCCCCCUCUUCU